CCUACGGGAGGCAGCAGUGAGGAAUAUUGGUCAAUGGGCGCAAGUCUGAACCAGCCACGCAGCGUGCAGGAAGACGGCCCUAUGAGUUUUAAACUUCUUUUGUACGAGGGUAAAUCCCCAUACGUGUAUGGUUUUGUAAGUACCUUACGAAUAAGGAUCGGCUAACUCCGUGCCAGCAGCCGCGGUAAUACGGAGGAUUCGAGCGUUAUCCGGAUUUAUUGGGUUUAAAGGGUGUGUAGGCGGUUCGAUAAGUUCGAGGGGAAAUGCCGGGGCUCAACUCCUGCACUGCUGUUGAUACUGUCGGGCUAGAGUUUAUUUGCGGUAGGCUGAAG
Molecule: ribosomal RNA, 332 nt
Filed under: uncultured bacterium
Lineage: Bacteria
Description: partial 16S ribosomal RNA
Rfam family: Bacterial small subunit ribosomal RNA
Source: RNAcentral